Phascolarctos cinereus (koala) is the source of this 1916-nucleotide non-coding RNA. Lineage: Eukaryota; Metazoa; Chordata; Mammalia; Diprotodontia; Phascolarctidae. The record is from RefSeq and is a predicted model, not a curated record.
CGGGUCGGGAAACCGAGGGAGUUAGGGUAGAGCUGAGGGACUACCCAAACCCGAGCCCAAGGCAACCAGCCUGCCGGCAGCUUCCAGUAGAUCGUUUUGUAGAGGGGGCGUCGGGCUUGGAAGGGAGAACUCCCUGAGAGCCCCAGUGUCUUAGAGUGCUAGGAUCUAGCAGUGGUCAUGAUACUGGAUUUCCUCCACGCUGUCACCCUUAAGUCUGGCCACUUUUAGCUUUGUUCUGCCCCUCUCUCCACCCCCGCUCCUGCGAAAAAGUAUGGUUAGUGAACAUUUUUUGAGGAUUUAUGUGAGAUGAGGCCGCAUUUACAAAAACACCCAGCAGAGAGAUUGGAAUGAAUUGCUGUGGCUGUGGCAGACUACUUGUGUCUUCCGCAUCCUGACACUCACCUCCGCCCUCCUAAACCCUAACUCUUGCAGGCCUUAAUUUUCCCCGAGGGCUUAUCUAGGUCUAUUGGUAAGUGUAGGCAUCUCCUCGAGGCUGUGAGAUUACAGCCCGAGCCUAGUAAAAACUAAACUGGGUCUGGCCUAAAAGACUCAGGUUUGGUACAACCUCACCAGCAGGUGAACUUUCAGCUAGCCCCAGAAAGAAAGGCAGAGGUUGUAGGGGAGAAGGUGGUUCCGUAAUCUCGGAGCCUGCCUCGCCCCUUCUAACAAAUCCUGUUCCCCCUUCCCCACCUGGACAGCAAAGGUGGGAUGCAACUUCUGACGAUCUUGGUGUGGAAGGAGAAGAAAGGAGGGCCAAUCUAAGCUGCAGACUCCCUGUGACCCUAUAUGUUCUGACAAAGGCAAAAUACAGCAGGAGAUAAUAACCUCCCUGGCCUGGGCACAAUGUCUCUUAUAAUUCAACCUAAGAAAACACAUACCACACUUUCGACUCAUUGAGCUUGCAGGUCCCUAAGACUUCCAGAUCUUCUUCAAGUUGACUCGGAAGCUGAGGUAAAGAGAGUGGAAGUGAUUUGACCAUAGUGACAUGGCUGCCAAACGGCAGUACUAAAAGCCCCAAACUUCUGACUCUCAGGCCAGUGAUACUUCCCCUACACCAGGAUACUUUUAUUUGCUACACCAUACCCUUCCUUGGGAUAGGUCAUAUUAUUGGGAAAGGGUUGCCAUGAUUCUAAAGUCUUGAUUUUCCAGUUGGAGCACCUCUGAGGCAUUAGAAAGGGGGGCAUCCCAGUCUUGGGAAACUACGAUCUGGAAUGUUCACUGACCACCUUUGGAGUCUCUGUCUCUCUUUUUCUUCCUGCCUCCACGUAUACACUGUACCCCUACCUACCUCUUUAAUUAGCCUCCCUUUCCCAUCUGGACUUCAAAUUUCUUGAGAGUUCCUUUCCUCUGGGAUAGGCCCUCUUGGGCUCUAUCUCCACAGAAUGAGGUGGGAAAAGGACUGAAAUGGCCUCAGGAGAAAUGAGGCUUAAACUCCAAGAACUUUUUUAGGGGGGGUAGAAAAGAGAGAGAUGGGAUUGAAAAGAUGUCCCAGCCCCAGGGGAAUGAAGGCAUCAGGAACAGCUGUCUUCCUUUUUACAGGAGGAAAGGGAAUAGGACAGGUGGAAAGGGAUAGUCCCUGUGCAGAGGCAGAGGGAUGGCUUUGAUGAUAUACACAUAGCAGGGUGUUAGUGAGAAUAUGAGGGAAGGGGGGUUGGGGGGUGCAGGGAAGAGCAUUUUUACUUCUUCAUUCUCUCAUGGGGAGAGGGGCCAGCUUCACUCAGCUAACGAACCUCCUCCCAAAUUCUCCAAGUUGGAUUUGGUCUGUCCCAGAGGGGGGUCUUUUAUAACAAGGGGCCCCCCCUCCAGCCCUGUCCCUCCUUCCUCUGGAGCUGAAGCGUCCAAAGGUUCCUGGAAUAUAAUGGAUCAUUUUCAAUUUACCAGAGUCUUAGAGAUUACGCCGCUAAUCCCAUCAAAGA